AGGAGUUUAGGUUAAACAAACCAAGAGCCUUCAAAGCCCUAAAUAGAAGCCAGCCCGCCCUCCUAACUCCUG
This 72-nucleotide transfer RNA is filed under the name Cyrtodactylus sp. PKN-2019. RNAcentral describes it as "tRNA-Trp". The record is from RNAcentral. Lineage: Eukaryota; Metazoa; Chordata; Lepidosauria; Squamata; Gekkonidae.